Long non-coding RNA from Cucurbita moschata (crookneck pumpkin), 458 nucleotides. RefSeq lists it as uncharacterized. The transcript is spliced from 3 exons. The record is from RefSeq and is a predicted model, not a curated record. NCBI's taxonomy places the organism in Eukaryota, Viridiplantae, Streptophyta, Magnoliopsida, Cucurbitales, Cucurbitaceae.
GAAGAACACCACAGGCCCGAAAUGCACAAAGGAGUUGUCAUAAAGCACAAUGCUAACCAGCGCUAUGCUACAAGCGGAGUCGCAUCUUUUCUUUUCAGAGAAAUAGGCAGAAUUCAUAACUUACCAACGCCAGGAUUUUGUAGUGAGAAAUGCCACGGGUUGUGGAUCUACCAUUGGUCCAAUACUUGCUUCUGGAGCUUCCAUCCGUACUGUGGAUUGUGGUAUCCCUCAACUUUCUAUGCGCAGGAAGAUGUAGUAGACACAGCUUACAAGUGUAUUUCAAGGCCUUUUAUGAAACGUUUUCGAGCAUUGACAGAAAGCUGAAGCUGGAUGUUUGAUUGGAGGGAAAGGGAAAGGGAAACAACACAACAGGUAUUUACUACCCAUUUAUGCGUUCUCCUAACAUUUACAUUCGAAAACAAACAUAAAAUGCUACACAUUUUUUAAACUAAGAAAAA